UUCCGGUUGAUCCCGCCGGAGGUCACUGCUAUCGGGGUUCGAUUAAGCCAUGCGAGUCGAGAGGGUUCGGCCCUCGGCGUACUGCUCAGUAACACGUGGAUAACCUGCCCUAGGGAAGGGGAUAAUCCCGGGAAACUGGGGAUAAUACCCUAUAGGUUACAGAUGCUGGAAUGCUCUGUAAUCAAAAGUUCCGGCGCCCUAGGAUGGAUCUGCGGCCGAUUAGGUUGUUGUUGGGGUAAUGGCCCAACAAGCCAGUAAUCGGUACGGGUUGUGGGAGCAAGAGCCCGGAGUUGGAUUCUGAGACAUGAAUCCAGGCCCUACGGGGCGCAGCAGGCGCGAAAACUUUACAAUGCGGGAAACCGUGAUAAGGGAACACCGAGUGCCGGCAUCAUAUGUUGGCUGUCCAGAUGUGUAAACUACAUCUGUUAGCAAGGGCCGGGCAAGACCGGUGCCAGCCGCCGCGGUAACACCGGCGGCCCGAGUGGUGACCGUUAUUAUUGGGUCUAAAGGGUCCGUAGCCGGUUUGGUCAGUCCUCCGGGAAAUCUGAUAGCUUAACUGUUAGGCUUUCGGGGGAUACUGCCAGGCUUGGAACCGGGAGAGGUAAGAGGUACUACAGGGGUAGGAGUGAAAUCUUGUAAUCCCUGUGAGACCA
RNAcentral lists this ribosomal RNA (653 nucleotides) under uncultured archaeon. RNAcentral describes it as "bacterial SSU rRNA". It matches the Rfam family "Archaeal small subunit ribosomal RNA", at positions 1 to 659 of the family's 1478-position model. The record is from RNAcentral.